Seriola aureovittata is the source of this 549-nucleotide non-coding RNA. Lineage: Eukaryota; Metazoa; Chordata; Actinopteri; Carangiformes; Carangidae. The record is from the annotation of a RefSeq genome assembly.
CUACCACCAUGACAGUUGUACAAAGUGUCCUCCUAUUGGCUCUCAUUUCAGCUGCUCGGGGCCAGUCCCUCACCUCCUCAGAGCCAGUGGUCAGCAGACCAGGAGAAUCAGUCACUCUGUCCUGUAAAGUGGAAGGAGUUUCGCUCACUUGGCUGCACUGGAUUCGUCAGAAACCCGUCAAAGGACUGGAAUGGAUUGGACGCAUUGAUGGUGGAACUGGCACAAUAUUUGCCCAAAGCCUCCAAAGCCAGUUUAUCAUCACCAAAGACUCUUCCCAAAACUUGGUGUAUUUAAAGGUGAAGAGUCUGAAACAAGAAGACUCUGCAGUUUAUUAUUGUGCUCGAGAGCCACAGUGACACCAGAGAAUACAAAGCUGUACAAAAACUGAACAACGCUGAUGUUUGGAUGAGAAGUACUGAAGCAUGUCAGGCUCUGAAAACACAUUCCCCAGUGAAUGAUGGCUGGUUAACAAUAAAACACAUCAUGUCACUGAAAUGAGUUUGUGGCAGCAGAUCUUUAAAUAUGACCUGAGACCAAAAUAUAUCUUUC